CCUACGGGAGGCAGCAGUGGGGAAUAUUUCACAAUGGGGGAAACCCUGAUGCAGCGACGCCGCGUUAGCGAGGAAGUAUUUCGGUAUGUAAAGCUCUAUCAGCAGGGACGAAAAAAGACGGUACCUGACUCAGAAGCCCCGGCUAACUACGUGCCAGCAGCCGCGGUAAUACGUAGGGGGCAAGCGUUAUCCGGAUUUACUGGGUGGAAAGGGAGCGUAGACGGCAAGGCAAGCCAGAAGUGAAAGGGCAGGGCUCAACCCUGUACAUGCUUUUGGAACUGUGGUGCUAGAGUGCAGGAGAGGUAAGUGGAAGUCCUAGUGUAGCGGUGAAAUGCGUAGAUAUUAGGAGGAACACCAGUGGCGAAGGCGGCUUACUGGACUGUAACUGACGUUGAGGCUCGAAAGCGUGGGGAGCAAACAGGAUUAGAUACCCCUGUAGUC
This 441-nucleotide ribosomal RNA is filed under the name uncultured bacterium. RNAcentral describes it as "partial 16S ribosomal RNA". It matches the Rfam family "Bacterial small subunit ribosomal RNA", at positions 338 to 795 of the family's 1533-position model. The record is from RNAcentral.